Molecule: ribosomal RNA, 429 nt
Filed under: Aeromonas sp. E312
Lineage: Bacteria; Pseudomonadati; Pseudomonadota; Gammaproteobacteria; Aeromonadales; Aeromonadaceae
Description: bacterial SSU rRNA
Rfam family: Bacterial small subunit ribosomal RNA
Source: RNAcentral
GUGGGGAAUAUUGCACAAUGGGGGAAACCCUGAUGCAGCCAUGCCGCGUGUGUGAAGAAGGCCUUCGGGUUGUAAAGCACUUUCAGCGAGGAGGAAAGGUUGGUAGCGAAUAACUGCCAGCUGUGACGUUACUCGCAGAAGAAGCACCGGCUAACUCCGUGCCAGCAGCCGCGGUAAUACGGAGGGUGCAAGCGUUAAUCGGAAUUACUGGGCGUAAAGCGCACGCAGGCGGUUGGAUAAGUUAGAUGUGAAAGCCCCGGGCUCAACCUGGGAAUUGCAUUUAAAACUGUCCAGCUAGAGUCUUGUAGAGGGGGGUAGAAUUCCAGGUGUAGCGGUGAAAUGCGUAGAGAUCUGGAGGAAUACCGGUGGCGAAGGCGGCCCCCUGGACAAAGACUGACGCUCAGGUGCGAAAGCGUGGGGAGCAAACAG